CGCGUGGUGGAGCAGCUUGGUAGCUCGUCGGGCUCAUAACCCGAAGGUCGUUGGUUCAAAUCCGGCCCCCGCAACCA
Molecule: transfer RNA, 77 nt
Filed under: Proteus mirabilis
Lineage: Bacteria; Pseudomonadati; Pseudomonadota; Gammaproteobacteria; Enterobacterales; Morganellaceae
Description: tRNA-Met
Rfam family: tRNA
About the family: Transfer RNA (tRNA) molecules are approximately 80 nucleotides in length. Their secondary structure includes four short double-helical elements and three loops (D, anti-codon, and T loops).
Source: RNAcentral